RNAcentral lists this non-coding RNA (21 nucleotides) under Arabidopsis thaliana (thale cress). Lineage: Eukaryota; Viridiplantae; Streptophyta; Magnoliopsida; Brassicales; Brassicaceae. The record is from RNAcentral.
UGUGAUUUUUGGUGUUAUGGU